AAAAGGGAUUGCCUUUAAAUUAAUGAUGGAGCAAGAUUCUGAUGAUGCAAGAUUGUGUCUCAGAAAUGAGAAGUGACUGAAGGCAGGAUGGACAUGGAGAUUGGAGAUGUAAAAAUGCAUGGUGGAGUGCACAGUACUUUUGAAAUCUGCUGAUGGAAGAACCGUGCUGUGGGCCAUGACCUGUAAGCUGCAGAACAGCAAGUAAAGGUAAUAGUAAUGGCUAUAGAGUUGACUGUUUUCAACAUCUUUCAACUGGGCAAGAAGCCAAACCCUGACUCAUGGCAGAGAUGUUGACUUUUUGGUAAAAUGGAAUAUCUGUUGACACAUCAUGGUUCAACUGUGACACAGUUGCAACUUGGCUGAACAAAGGGAAGUAUUUUUUUUCUACUUGGCUGCUCAGCACACAAGCACAGGCUGAUUGGCAAAGCUGGAAAAAGGUAUGUCUUUAAGAAGAAAUAGAACAGCUUUAGCAGAGAAGCAAGAGGUGAGUUUUACUUUACAAUCUUAAGGGACAAGGUUGAGAGAAUCCCCUGACAUUGUUAGCAUGGCACAACAUCUUGUGUUUGAAGACUUGCAGAAAGGUAUCUCAUGUGAUGACUAAUGUCACUUAUCUUUUUCUAUUCGUCUGUCACCAGAACUGUGGUGUCUUGGGACAGCUGAUGUCCUUAGGCCUAAGCCAUCCUAUGUCUGUUUGUUCCAUCCAGCUAGGAUGGCAGUGAAGCUAAAUCUGGAGAGUAGAGUCUUGUUCCUAAUAAGCUGAGAACGGUAGGACUUGUCAAGGUGCUGAAUUACUUAAAAUAGCAAAACCACUCCAUUUUGUGUCAGAGAACCUCUUGGUUGUUAAGUGUAACUCCUGCAUGUCUCCAUCUGCUUCAAAAGUGACUCAAGAAAAGGAAACUGGUGUGUUUUACAAGAAUGUCUUGUAUUCAGUGCAUUCUGAGAAUACAAACUCCUGUAACCUAUAUUUCAGACAUUCUUGCCAGUUGAGUCCUUCUGCUGUGUUUGUUUUACCAUCUUCAUUGAGUUAUUGUCACUGUUGAUUUUAAAAGUCUUAAGGCAAUUUCAUGCAGAAAGAUGUCAUGCUGAGGUCAAAGCAAGUUCAGUAACACUUCUUAUUGAACUCUUAAAUACAAGAGGAUUGUUUUUCAUGAGUCUUCAGCAGCUCUAAACUGUUUUAAUGAA
Melopsittacus undulatus (budgerigar) is the source of this 1182-nucleotide long non-coding RNA. RefSeq lists it as uncharacterized. The record is from RefSeq and is a predicted model, not a curated record. NCBI's taxonomy places the organism in Eukaryota, Metazoa, Chordata, Aves, Psittaciformes, Psittaculidae. The transcript has 5 exons.